AGCUCCAAUAGCGUAUAUUAAAGUUGUUGCAGUUAAAAAGCUCGUAGUUGAAUUUCUGGCCAAUCUCAUGCUGCGCUAUACGCCGGUAUGCGGUUUGGUCAUCCGUAGGGGAAGCCAGUUCGGUCUUCACUGGUCGGCUGGGGGAACCUACAAUUUACUGUGAAAAAAUUAGAGUGUUUCAGGCAGGCAAUCGCUUGGAUACUCCAGCAUGGAAUAAUGGAAUAGGACUUUGAUCUAUUUGUUGGUUUGAGAUCAAAGUAAUGAUUAAUAGGGACAGUUGGGGGCAUUCGUAUUUAAUUGUCAGAGGUGAAAUUCUUGGAUUUAUUAAAGACGGACUUAUGCGAAAGCAUUUGCCAAGGAUGUUUUCA
RNAcentral lists this ribosomal RNA (368 nucleotides) under uncultured eukaryote. Its description in RNAcentral is "SSU rRNA". It matches the Rfam family "Eukaryotic small subunit ribosomal RNA", at positions 587 to 972 of the family's 1831-position model. The record is from RNAcentral.